UACGUAGGGUGCGAGCGUUGUCCGGAUUUAUUGGGCGUAAAGAGCUUGUAGGCGGCUCGUCACGUCGGGUGUGAAAACUCGCGGCUCAACCGCGAGCCUGCACCCGAUACGGGCGAGCUAGAGUUCGGCAGGGGAGACUGGAAUUCCCGGUGUAGCGGUGAAAUGCGCAGAUAUCGGGAAGAACACCCGUGGCGAAGGCGGCUCUCUGGGACGGUACUGACGCUGAGACGCGAAAGCGUGGGGAGCGAACAGG
RNAcentral lists this ribosomal RNA (253 nucleotides) under uncultured bacterium. Its description in RNAcentral is "partial 16S ribosomal RNA". It matches the Rfam family "Bacterial small subunit ribosomal RNA", at positions 524 to 776 of the family's 1533-position model. The record is from RNAcentral.